GGCUUCACAGCUCAGUUGGGCGAGCAUCGCACCGGUAUCACGGAGGUCACGGGUUUGAAUCCCGUUGAAGUCC
RNAcentral lists this transfer RNA (73 nucleotides) under Acropora cervicornis. RNAcentral's name for it is "tRNA-Thr". It matches the Rfam family "tRNA". Rfam says of the family: Transfer RNA (tRNA) molecules are approximately 80 nucleotides in length. The record is from RNAcentral. Lineage: Eukaryota; Metazoa; Cnidaria; Anthozoa; Scleractinia; Acroporidae.